RNAcentral lists this ribosomal RNA (1334 nucleotides) under uncultured rumen bacterium. RNAcentral describes it as "bacterial SSU rRNA". It matches the Rfam family "Bacterial small subunit ribosomal RNA", at positions 43 to 1377 of the family's 1533-position model. The record is from RNAcentral.
CAGGCCUAACACAUGCAAGUCGAGGGGCAGCGCGUUGUAGCAAUACGAUGGCGGCGACCGGCGAAAGGGUGAGUAACGCGUGAGCAACGUGCCCGUAUGUGGGGGAUAGUCGAUGGAAACGUCGCGUAAUACCCCGUAACACAAGGGACCGCAUGAUCUCUUGUUGAAAGAUUCAUUGCAUACGGAUCGGCUCGCGUGCCAUUAGGUAGACGGCGGGGUAACGGCCCACCGUGCCGACGAUGGCUAGGGGUUCUGAGAGGAAGGUCCCCCACAUUGGAACUGAGACACGGUCCAGACUCCUACGGGAGGCAGCAGUGAGGAAUAUUGGACAAUGGCCGGAAGGCUGAUCCAGCCAUGCCGCGUGCGGGAGGACGGCCCUAUGGGUUGUAAACCGCUUUUGCGGGGGAGCAAUAAUCACUACGUGUAGUGAGAUGAGAGUACCCUGCGAAUAAGCAUCGGCUAACUCCGUGCCAGCAGCCGCGGUAAUACGGAGGAUGCAAGCGUUAUCCGGAUUUAUUGGGUUUAAAGGGUGCGUAGGCGGUUUGCUAAGCGGGAGGUGAAAUGCCGGCGCUCAACGUCGGAAGUGCCUCCCGAACUGGUGGACUGGAAUGACUCUGCCGUGGGAGGAAUGUGUAGUGUAGCGGUGAAAUGCUUAGAGAUUACACAGAACACCGAUUGCGAAGGCAUCUCACGAAGGGUUGAUUGACGCUGAGGCACGAAAGCGUGGGGAUCAAACAGGAUUAGAUACCCUGGUAGUCCGCACAGUAAACGAUGAAUACUCGCUGUCGGCGAUAUACAGUCGGCGGCCAAGCGAAAGCAUUAAGUAUUCCACCUGGGGAGUACGCCGGCAACGGUGAAACUCAAAGGAAUUGACGGGGGCCCGCACAAGCGGAGGAACAUGUGGUUUAAUUCGAUGAUACGCGAGGAACCUUACCCGGGCUUGAACUGCACCCGACGGACAGAGAGAUUUGUCUUCCGCAAGGCGGGUGUGGAGGUGCUGCAUGGUUGUCGUCAGCUCGUGCCGUGAGGUGUCGGCUUAAGUGCCAUAACGAGCGCAACCCUUCUCUUCAGUUGCCAUCAGGUAAUGCUGGGCACUCUGGAGACACUGCCAUCGUAAGAUGCGAGGAAGGUGGGGAUGACGUCAAAUCAGCACGGCCCUUACGUCCGGGGCUACACACGUGUUACAAUGGGAGGUACAGAAGGCCGCGACCCGGCGACGGGAAGCCAAUCCCCAAAUCCUCUCUCAGUUCGGACUGGAGUCUGCAACCCGACUCCACGAAGCUGGAUUCGCUAGUAAUCGCGCAUCAGCCAUGGCGCGGUGAAUACGUUCCCGG